CGUUAAUUUUACUUUGUCUCCGCUAUAUACGAACAGGGAAUCACUCAAUCACAUUCUACGAUAAGGGACAAUGAUCUUGAUCUACUUGUUCGUGGUAUCUCACAAGUAUCACCCAGGAUCAUCAGGCUAUAGAUUAGUACAAGAAUAUUUAUCUCGUAAACAUCCAGACGGCGAGCAAGAUAUUCGGUUGAAUCAUAAUAUAAUAUAAUGUAAUUGUUACUGUAAAAGACGAGGUCAGCAAUGUUUAUAAAGAGAGAAAUAAUUCGUCAGUUUCGAAAUCUUUAACUUUUUAAUAUCGACAUACGUAAAUAUCUCAGCGCGUGUUCACCCCCCUUUAAAACAAAGAAUACCAUUCGCUGGCUUCUUGGUUAACUUCCGUUUCCUGACUUCCUCUGUAUUAAGUUGCUUACUUCCGUUUCCUUUCGAUUUAUAUUUUUGACUUUUCGAUUUAUUUUUAUGAGCCGCGGCUUUGACUUGUCAUUUGGGAGUUUCGUAUUAUAAAUAAAAGUUUCGACUUGCGUUUAAUUUUCAUGUAUAUCCUUAGAGGUUUGAAAUGUAUUUUGCAGUUUUGAAGUAUAUGCUUUAAACUUUCGUUUUAUUUUUUUGAGUUUGAACUUCAUCUUGAUAUUUUCAACAUUGUAUUGAGAGUUAUAACAUGUUGAUAUAAUGUUUGACUAUUACUUGUUGACUUGAAAUAGUUUUGACCGGAACGGAACGCCAUACUAGAAUCUAUCUACCGCAACGUUGUUGUCAACCGUAUUUGAACAUUUGUACUGUAUUAAAGUUUAUAUAUUAACUGUCUGUGUACGCGUUCUAUGCAAAUUCUG
Molecule: non-coding RNA, 827 nt
Organism: Paramuricea clavata
Lineage: Eukaryota; Metazoa; Cnidaria; Anthozoa; Malacalcyonacea; Plexauridae
Source: the annotation of a GenBank genome assembly